This 853-nucleotide small RNA is filed under the name Pongo abelii (Sumatran orangutan). RNAcentral's name for it is "retained intron". The record is from RNAcentral. Lineage: Eukaryota; Metazoa; Chordata; Mammalia; Primates; Hominidae.
AAGAUGGCGGCCGCGGCGGUGAACGGGGCGGCGGGCUUCUCAAGCUCCGGGCCCGCGGCGACCUCGGGCGCUGUCCUGCAGGCCGCGACCGGCAUGUACGAGCAACUCAAGGGCGAGUGGAACCGUAAAAGCCCCAAUCUUAGCAAGUGCGGAGAAGAGCUGGGCCGACUCAAGCUAGUUCUUCUGGAGCUUAACUUCUUACCAACCACAGGGACCAAGCUGACCAAACAGCAGCUAAUUCUGGCCCGUGACAUACUGGAGAUCGGGGCCCAAUGGAGCAUCCUACGCAAGGACAUCCCCUCCUUCGAGCGCUACAUGGCCCAGCUCAAAUGCUACUACUUUGAUUACAAGGAACAGCUCCCUGAGUCAGCCUAUAUGCACCAGCUCUUGGGCCUCAACCUCCUCUUCCUGCUAUCUCAGAACCGGGUGGCUGAGUUCCACACGGAGUUGGAGCGGCUGCCUGCCAAGGACAUCCAGACCAAUGUCUACAUCAAGCACCCUGUGUCCCUGGAGCAAUACCUGAUGGAGGGCAGCUACAACAAAGUGUUCCUGGCCAAGGGUAACAUCCCUGCCGAGAGCUACACCUUCUUCAUUGACAUCCUGCUGGACACUAUCAGGUGCGUAGUGGGGUCGGGCCCUGUGGAGUUUGGAAAGCACUUGGGCUUGAGUCGGACAGCUCCGAGUCUGAAUCUCAUUCCAUCCAUUGGUUGUCUGGGUAGGCUAGGUGUGUUUCUUAUCCUCCUAGCACCUCAGCUCUCCUUUCCAGUGAAUUGGGCCUGGUCAUGGGAUUGUGGAUAACGGCCCUCAUCUCACCACCCUUGGCUGUUGACAUGUGUGGCCAUGUGUGUCAAAC